CGAAAGAUUGAUUUAGUUACUUAUUAGGAUGAAUAAUUUUGAUAAAAAAUAAAAUCCAUAUAUAAUAAAAAUAAUGACAUUAAUUACUUUAUUAAUUAAAGUAUUUAUAUUUCAAAUAUAAAUAUAUAAUAGUCUUAACAAAUAAUUGUGCCAGCAGUUGCGGUUAUACAAUGAAGGCUAACGUUAAUCAUAAUGGUUUAAAGGAUUUGUAGAAUGAAUAUUUAUAUAAUAUUUAGAGUUAAUUAAAAUAUAAUUAAAGAAUUAUAAUAGUAAGGAUGAAAUAAUUAUAAUAAUUAUAAGACUGGUAAUAAUGAAAAUAUUAAUUAAUAAUUAACUGACAUUGAGAAAUGAAGACUAAAGUAGCGAAACAGAUUCGAUACCUGUGUAGUUUUAGUAGUAAACGAUGAAUACAUAUUAUUUAUAAAUAUAAUAUAAAUAAUAAAAUGAAAAUUAAAGUAUUCCACCUGAAGAGUAUAUUAGCAAUAAUGAAACUCAAGACAAUAGACGGUUACAGACUUAAGUAGUGGAGCAC
Molecule: ribosomal RNA, 532 nt
Filed under: Monosporozyma unispora
Lineage: Eukaryota; Fungi; Ascomycota; Saccharomycetes; Saccharomycetales; Saccharomycetaceae
Description: Kazachstania unispora partial small subunit ribosomal RNA
Rfam family: Bacterial small subunit ribosomal RNA
Source: RNAcentral